Molecule: small nuclear RNA, 107 nt
Organism: Choloepus didactylus (southern two-toed sloth)
Lineage: Eukaryota; Metazoa; Chordata; Mammalia; Pilosa; Megalonychidae
Source: RefSeq, a predicted model, not a curated record
GUGCUCACCUUGGCAGCAUAUAUACUAAAAAUGGAAUGAUACAGAGAAGAUUAGCAUGGCCCCUAUGCAAGUAUGACACACAAAUUCAUGAAGCAUUCCAUAAUUUU